Molecule: ribosomal RNA, 255 nt
Filed under: uncultured bacterium
Lineage: Bacteria
Description: partial 16S ribosomal RNA
Rfam family: Bacterial small subunit ribosomal RNA
Source: RNAcentral
UACAGAGGGUGCAAGCGUUAAUCGGAAUUACUGGGCGUAAAGCGUGCGCAGGCGGUUCGUUGUGUCGGCGGUGAAAGCCCCGGGCUCAACCUGGGAAUGGCCGUUGAAACUGGCGAACUGGAGUGUGGCAGAGGGGGGUGGAAUUCCGCGUGUAGCAGUGAAAUGCGUAGAGAUGCGGAGGAACACCGAUGGCGAAGGCAGCCCCCUGGGCUAACACUGACGCCUCAGGCACGAAAGCGUGGGGGAGCAAACAGG